Zingiber officinale is the source of this 3649-nucleotide RNA transcript. It is a transcript of the gene named putative aminoacrylate hydrolase RutD, with no coding region annotated. NCBI's taxonomy places the organism in Eukaryota, Viridiplantae, Streptophyta, Magnoliopsida, Zingiberales, Zingiberaceae. The record is from RefSeq and is a predicted model, not a curated record. The transcript has 9 exons.
UGCCCUUUUCCUCCCUCCCAUUUUUCUCGCGAUCCGCGUUCUUUUCGAUCAAUUUUCUUCUUCUUUUUUUUCUUCUUUAUUAAUUCCUUUUUCGUGAUUCUGAAGAUCGAGUGUUCCGAUUUUAGAGGGAUAUUUGUUCCGCGGAAUCGAAGUGAGGAGAUGCCUUACUGCGACUGCGAGAAUGGGGUUCGGAUUUUUUACAAGAGGUUUGGCCAUGGCAGCACCAAGGCCCUCCUAAUUAUCGGAUUGGCGGGGACGCAUGAUUCGUGGGAGCCCCAGAUUAGGGGGUUGACGGGAGCGGUGGAGGCGAACGACGACUUGCCGGCGGUGCCUUCUGACGAUCGUGGAAUGGAACCAGCCGAUGAGGAGGAGGUGCAGGAUGGGAUCGAGCUGUGCUGCUUCGAUAACCGUGGGAUGGGUCGGAGCUCUGUGCCUAGUCACAAAUCUGAAUACACAACUACCAUAAUGGCAAGAGAUGCCCUUGCUCUAUUGGAUCAUUUAAGCUGGAAAAGAGCUCAUGUGUUCGGUCAUUCAAUGGGAGGAAUGAUAGCUUGCAAAUUGGCAGCCCUAGCGCCUGGUAGAAUAAGCUCCUUGGCCUUGCUCAAUGUCACAGGAGGUGGUUUUGAGUGCUUUCCGAAGAUUGAUCGCCAAAUGAUAUCCCUUGCGUUUCGUUUCUUAAGCGCAAGAACACCAGAGCAAAGAGCUAUUGUUGACUUGGAAACUCAUUACACAACGGAAUAUCUUGACGAACAUGUUGGAUUUGCAUGCAGAAGAAGGGAUAUCCUUUACAAAGAAUAUGUAAAGAAUAUAUCGUCAAGUGGAAUGCAAUCGAACCAUGGCUUUGAAGGCCAAGUUAAUGCUUGCUGGAAUCAUAAAAUGACACCAAAAGAGCUGGAGAGAAUUAGAUCAACUGGAUUUCUGAUAUCAAUCAUCCAUGGAAGGCAUGACAUUAUUGCUCAAGUAAAUCACGCAAGGAACCUUGCCGAGAAACUUCAACCUGUUGCCAGAAUGGUGGAACUUCAUGGUGCACACCUGGUCAGCCAUGAAAGGCCAGAUGAGGUAUAGUUUGAGGCGUCACUAUCUUGUCGAAUCAUUAAUUUAGUGUUAAUAUUUGAUCAAUAAUUAUCCGAUGUCUUGAUUGAAAUUUAAAUGUCGAUUAUUUGUUAGUGGAUCAUAAUCUUUCAUGCCUGGUCAGUAACAGUAGCCAUAGGAACCGCAUCGGUUGCUGUAGUAUUAUUCCAACUACAAAAUAGAUAUUAGUGAAUGAGAAAUUCAUCACGGCUUGUGUUAAGCAAGAAGAGACAUGUAGGAUGUUGGUUGCCGAGACAUUGCUGCUGAAAGAAGACAUGUCAAAACAGUUCAAAUGAAAAAGAUGAAUAAACAAACUCUAUUCUUUAAUUCGAUAGUGAUAAUUUUUAAGACUUUUGCAUAUAUGUUUAUGUUUAAUAUCAACAGAUCCUAUCCCAUCUAAGUGUUGCUAGUUUGAUUGGAUGAAACUCUCUUUUAGACUUAACAUGAUAUCACAGUUAAUCCAACAUCUCUAGCGUUUUACUGAAGGAACAAAAGUAAUUACCUCUCUCUCUGUUUACUUAGGCAAAUAGAUUUAAGGAACGAUGCAAGCAAGGAUUCAUUGGCUACUUUUUGCCAUAGCCUUCAUUGACCAUUUUGGUUGAAAGGGGUAAAGAGUUUAUGAAGGAACUGACCUGGGUACUUAUCUGAAUACUGUCUCUUCUUCCCUUCAUCUUGAGAGAAUCUUCUACUCUUCUCUCCACAUUCCCCUUCUCUCCCUUGCAUCAUUCUAUUUGUAUCUCCUUCACAAAUAAAUAUCAAAUGCAAAGAUGACUUACUGCUUUGGGUAGGACUGAAGGCUUUCUUAAACUUCAAGAAUUAAUUCUUGAUCUCCUAUCCAUUCAAAAGGCCAAUAGGCAUAAAUUGCUAAAAGAACUCCACAAAUAGUUAGAAUUCAAUGUUUGUUAUUCUUUUAGUAAAAUAAACUGUCAUCUAAACGUAUUUUAUUAUCUAGUAAUUUAUAAAUUUCACACUAAGGUAAAUCCGACCGAUUGGGCUGUCUCAGUCCCAUCACAAGCCUAUGCACAAAAAGGUAAAAAGAUUCUCAUCUCCUCUGAGCUUGGCCGUGUUUGUCAUCACCUCCAAGCCUAGCCCACCACACUCUAGUUGGUGCCUCAAGCAUAGUACACUUGAGCCUUGUUGAGCCAUUGCCUAAUCUUCUCUAAGCCCAUUGUCGUUUUGUGCCCGUGGCACCUGCCAUCUCCUCAAGCCUGACCAUGCUUACUGUUGACUUUGGUCUAGUCCUCACCUUGAACCCCAAUUAGAUCUUGUUGGAAAACCUCUGUUUGAGCUCUUUCACUCUAAGAUCUUAUGGUCACCCAUCAACAGAUCUGGUCGUUGGUGCUACCUAGGAGGACAACAGAGUAUCAUCACCUAGGAGGGCUAUGAAACAAGGAUAAAACUAAGAUUUUAUCCCAUUCCUACUGCUGCAGUAUUGCAUCCCUUUAUUUUAGGUGGAUGCAGUUGUGUUAAAAGAAUGUUCAAAAUUCCUCUCUGCAGUAUUUCUAUUGGGGUAACCGAUGAAGAGUUCCUCGUAAUUGAAAUUCUCCUUUCCUUCCCCUGAGAUUUCUAUGGGGUAAAUAACCCGUAAAAUAACAUUAAAACCCAUGAGAAUAGAUAGUGUGCCACACACUAAAUGUUGGCUGAUGUGCCAAAGAAGAUUUACCAGGCAUUGAUAUAUAGUAAUAGAAAAAUCUAAAGACAAGGGUAAUCCAACUGUCUAGUUCACGUAGAGCUUUUUAUCACGCUCUACAUUGGAACAAAACCAAACAUAACUUGCCUUCUUUCAUCCACCCCUUUUUAUCCAAAUACUUACCAACUGUUAGUUCCUUUUCAUCGACUCUCUUUACCAUUAAAUCUGGAAAGAAGGGGGAGGGUGAGUGCAAAGGAAAACAACUACAAAACAUAGAGGAUCCACCCCCUUAAUUUCUUUUCUAGUGUUUAGAAGUCAAAUGAACUUAGAACUGCAAACUGAAAUGGAGUUUACCACUUUACCUCUCUCAAUUUUACCAGACAUUCAAUAGAUAGCUGAAGACUGUUCAAUCAGGUUAACCAAGCUCUGAGGGAAUUGGUAAUCGCAUCAAAAAGCAAGCUUAAUCCUCAAGAGUGGUCCUGGUUGCCGGAGAGUCAGACUUUUGGCGCACGAUGGUCAAUCUUGGGAACAAAAUCAUCCACAAGGAAUAAUGGAAACAGUUCGGCGAGCAAUCUGCUAACAGUUUAUAACUUUCUAGGAAAGAUACAACUCAGUUUUCUCUAUUUCCUUGGCUUCUUCAUGAUUGCAUAUGAGCACAUGAGGAGCAUUCUUAGAACCAUGAAACCGGCCAGAGUUGCAGCCUCCAAUCCAUGAGGUAAAUACAUAAACUCAUUGACCCAAACAUUUCCUUCACAGCAGAAGCUUAUGUUUCAGGGAUCAUCAUACAACAAAUAACAACACGCAAAGAAACAGUGACAGGAUACUUCAUUAAUUUGUGUUCCAAAAGUGAACUCUGUUCUUGUGCUAUAAUUUCCUGUGUUUUUUCUUCUCAUUUAUUGUACCGGUGACCAUUCUGAAUUGCAUAGCUAAUAAAUACCAUUGGCCUUA